RNAcentral lists this ribosomal RNA (196 nucleotides) under uncultured bacterium. RNAcentral describes it as "partial 16S ribosomal RNA". It matches the Rfam family "Bacterial small subunit ribosomal RNA", at positions 328 to 539 of the family's 1533-position model. The record is from RNAcentral.
ACGCUCGACACCUACGGGAGGAGCAGUGGGGAAUAUUGCACAAUGGGGGAAACCCUGAUGCAGCGACGCCGCGUGGAGGAAGAAGGUCUUCGGAUUGUAAACUCCUGUUGUUGGGGAAAAAGAGGAUGGUACCCAACAAGGAAGUGACGGCUAACUACGUCNCGCAGCCGCAGUAAUCUGAGCGGGCUGGCAAGGC